RNAcentral lists this ribosomal RNA (466 nucleotides) under uncultured bacterium. Its description in RNAcentral is "partial 16S ribosomal RNA". It matches the Rfam family "Bacterial small subunit ribosomal RNA", at positions 29 to 507 of the family's 1533-position model. The record is from RNAcentral.
ACGAACGCUGGCGGCGUGCUUAACACAUGCAAGUCGAACGGAAAGGCCCUGCUUUUGUGGGGUGCUCGAGUGGCGAACGGGUGAGUAACACGUGAGUAACCUGCCCUUGACUUUGGGAUAACUUCAGGAAACUGGGGCUAAUACCGGAUAGGAGCUCCUGCUGCAUGGUGGGGGUUGGAAAGUUUCGGCGGUUGGGGAUGGACUCGCGGCUUAUCAGCUUGUUGGUGGGGUAGUGGCCUACCAAGGCUUUGACGGGUAGCCGGCCUGAGAGGGUGACCGGCCACAUUGGGACUGAGAUACGGCCCAGACUCCUACGGGAGGCAGCAGUGGGAAUAUUGCACAAUGGGCGGAAGCCUGAUGCAGCAACGCCGCGUGCGGGAUGACGGCCUUCGGGUUGUAAACCGCUUUCGCCUGUGACGAAGCGUGAGUGACGGUAAUGGGUAAAGAAGCACCGGCUAACUACGUG